GCACAAGCGGUGGAUCAUGUUGUUUAAUUCGAUGAUACGCGAAGAACCUUACCAGGUCUUGACAUCCCCCGCGAUGCUUUAGAGAUAAAGCGGAGGUAUUCGGGGAGACAGGUGGUGCAUGGUUGUCGUCAGCUCGUGUCGUGAGAUGUUGGGUUAAGUCCCGCAACGAGCGCAACCCCUAUUGCUAGUUACCAUCAUUAAGUUGGGGACUCUAGCGAGACUGCCAGUGAUAAACUGGAGGAAGGUGGGGAUGACGUCAAAUCAUCAUGCCCCUUAUGACCUGGGCUACAAACGUGAUACAAUGGCUGGAACAAAGGGAUGCGAAGCAGUGAUGUGGAGCGAAACCCAUAAAAACAGUCUCAGUUCGGAUUGAAGUCUGCAACUCGACUUCAUGAAGUCGGAAUCGCUAGUAAUCGCGGAUCAGAACGCCGCGGUGAAUACGUUCCGCGGUUU
This 453-nucleotide ribosomal RNA is filed under the name uncultured Acholeplasma sp. RNAcentral's name for it is "bacterial SSU rRNA". It matches the Rfam family "Bacterial small subunit ribosomal RNA", at positions 924 to 1374 of the family's 1533-position model. The record is from RNAcentral. Lineage: Bacteria; Bacillati; Mycoplasmatota; Mollicutes; Acholeplasmatales; Acholeplasmataceae.